RNAcentral lists this transfer RNA (72 nucleotides) under Babesia sp. Xinjiang. It matches the Rfam family "tRNA". From Rfam's summary of the family: Transfer RNA (tRNA) molecules are approximately 80 nucleotides in length. RNAcentral also lists the same sequence under 1 other name. The record is from Rfam by way of RNAcentral. Lineage: Eukaryota; Apicomplexa; Aconoidasida; Piroplasmida; Babesiidae.
AGAGAGUUGGCAGAAGGGGAAUGCACUUAAUUUGAGAUUAAAUUUUUAAGGGUUCAAGUCCCUUACUCUCUU